Molecule: long non-coding RNA, 425 nt
Organism: Papaver somniferum (opium poppy)
Lineage: Eukaryota; Viridiplantae; Streptophyta; Magnoliopsida; Ranunculales; Papaveraceae
Exons: 3
Source: RefSeq, a predicted model, not a curated record
CAACGAAAACCUCAAAGAGAGCGGCGCAAUUGGGGACCGUGCAGAAGAAGCAAAGGCGAUAAACAAAAGUUUAUCCGCUUUCACUGGUGUCAUUCAAGCGCUUGUACAGAAGAAUACACACGUACCCUACAGAGAAUCACUACUUACACACCUUCUCCAGCCUUGUCUCGAGGGGGACUCAAAAACUUUGAUGGUGGUCAACAUAUCUCCUUCUCUAGAGUCGGUGCGUCACUCAGUAAAGUCUCUUAAGUUUGCAGCCACAGUUAAUGCCUGUGUUGUUACUCGUAAGAAAGAUGUUGCUGGUGAUGGUGAGGCUUCUUCAUCUUCUUCAUCUCUUUUCAACACUCCCAAGUCUACACCAAGAGAUCUCUCUCCUCUUAUCUCCACUACUCACAGAUCUCGUCCUCCUCUUCCUAAAAGACCGA